Long non-coding RNA from Salvelinus sp. IW2-2015, 716 nucleotides. RefSeq lists it as uncharacterized. NCBI's taxonomy places the organism in Eukaryota, Metazoa, Chordata, Actinopteri, Salmoniformes, Salmonidae. The record is from RefSeq and is a predicted model, not a curated record.
UAUAUAUUGUUUUCUUGAUUUUAGAACUUCCUUUUUGUGUGUUGAGUUUAUUUAUUUCAGUUUGCUUUGCUAACUUUAGUAGCAAGAAGCUAGAUAGCUACCAGAGUGCAGUUUUCUCUGCCAGAAUGCCUUCCUACGACAAUGUAGCGCAUUUAUUUUGUUGAAGAACCCCUUUCGUUGCCCAGAUCAGAUUCAAGCUUCUGGGAAAAAACUGCAUCGAUCAUGUAAUGGACGAAGUUCUGCAUAUUCAAACUGCGCAACACAAUGAGAAGCUAAGUCCCCUCCUGUUCCCUGAUUAAGCCAUGAUGGCCUCUCCACUUCACUACCAGUGUCAACUCUCUCCCGACAUGAACUGAAGCCACGUCUCAUGUGCCCUCUCAUCCACUGGUGCAUUGAAUGUUUCAUCUCCAAGCACUUCCUGGCCUCAGUGGAAGAGUUGAGCUCUUCUCCAACACCAUCCAUCCACGAUGAGCCUGUCCUGCACUGAAGCCUUUGAACACCUCAACCCCUGUCCUGCACUGAAGUCAAGCCUCCGAACACACCCCAACUCAUACUCUCAUUCAAAUCACUGCUGUGAUAUCUUCCUAACACUAAGCAACCAUCUCAUUCUCAUUGCCCAUAAUAUUUUACCAUACAUGUCUUUAUUAAAUGUUUUAGGUUGAAAUAAUUUCUUACAUUUUUGUAAACACGCAUUAUCGCUUCCGUGCGGUCUGCAU